GCUCCCAGAGACCUGGGGAAAGAAGAAAGGGAAGCUCAGAUCUUGUCUCAGCUAGGAGAGGUUGUAUGUGUGUGUGUGUGUGUCCGCACAGGUGGUGAGACUGGAUGGCCUCUGGAGCUUUUAGCUGUGCUCCCAGGUCCCAACUCUACCCGGUGCACUUCAGGAAUCCAGCAGAGAUCUGCCAGCCCAUCCAGGGACCCUUGGGUCCGAGGAGAGGCCCAGCUAGUGGGUUAUCCUGGCAUUCAGUACAGAGUGAGUCUGCUGUGCUCCUCUUGAGGAGUAAGCAGCUUUAUAAUCCAAGAGGCUCUGCAACCCAGUUUCUCUUUCAUUCCUGGGGGUGGGGAAGAGACUACCCUCUGUGAGGGGAAGCUGGGAAGAGACAAAAGGAAUUGGAGAAAGAGCCAGCCAACUCAUUAGGAAACAAGAAGGAGACAAUGAACCUCUUAAAAGAAAAGAAAGCCAGCACCUAGAAGUCCCUGGCUCAUGGGUUUCCCGGAGAGGUGGCAUUCCUGGAUGAUGGGGUACAGAGAGCUCUGAGUUUAACUUUCAAUGAAGCGACGCAAACUCAAACCUAGGAAGAAUUAUCCACCUGAGAAUUGCUGGAAUAUUGGUGAAAUAUCACUUCUUGCUAUUUAAUUCAUUCAUCGGGGACUGAAAAGACAUCUCUUGUGGCUGAUUUAGGUCAGGGGUGUCCAACCUAUUUUUGUAUGAAGAGCACAUUUUAAUCUCAAAAAAUUUAUAGACCUGCAGAUAAAGAUACUUACACUUUAGGAAAGCAUUGGUAGAGCAAACACUUAAUAACAGAGGCUAUCACCUUUAAGGGAAUUUGAAUGCUAUUAAUCACCACCUUAUCUGUAUAUUAUCCCAAAUCUGAGUUAUUGCUUUCCUUCUGUGCUU
Long non-coding RNA from Hippopotamus amphibius kiboko, 897 nucleotides. RefSeq lists it as uncharacterized. The transcript is spliced from 3 exons. Lineage: Eukaryota; Metazoa; Chordata; Mammalia; Artiodactyla; Hippopotamidae. The record is from RefSeq and is a predicted model, not a curated record.